This 386-nucleotide ribosomal RNA is filed under the name uncultured bolidophyte. RNAcentral describes it as "SSU rRNA". It matches the Rfam family "Eukaryotic small subunit ribosomal RNA", at positions 587 to 975 of the family's 1831-position model. Lineage: Eukaryota; Bolidophyceae. The record is from RNAcentral.
AGCUCCAAUAGCGUAUAUUAAAGUUGUUGCAGUUAAAAAGCUCGUAGUUGGAUUUCUGGUGGGGGUGUUUGGCCGGCUCUAAUGAGUUUUGCGCCUAUACGUCUCCGCCAUCCUUGGGGAAAACUUGCUUGGCAUUAAGUUGUCGAGUUUGGGAUCCCCAUCGUUUACUGUGAAAAAAUUAGAGUGUUCAAAGCAGGCUUAUGCCGUUGAAUACAUUAGCAUGGAAUAAUAAGAUAGGACCUUGGUACUAUUUUGUUGGUUUGCGUACCUAGGUAAUGAUUAAUAGGGACAGUUGGGGGUAUUCGUAUUCAAUUGUCAGAGGUGAAAUUCUUGGAUUUAUGGAAGACGAACUACUGCGAAAGCAUUUACCAAGGAUGUUUUCAUUA